CGUAGCCGACCUGAGAGGGUGAUCGGCCACACUGGAACUGAGACACGGUCCAGACUCCUACGGGAGGCAGCAGUAGGGAAUCUUCCGCAAUGGGCGAAAGCCUGACGGAGCAACGCCGCGUGAGUGAUGAAGGUCUUCGGAUCGUAAAACUCUGUUGUUAGGGAAGAACAAAUUUGUUAGUAACUGAACAAGUCUUGACGGUACCUAACCAGAAAGCCACGGCUAACUACGUGCCAGCAGCCGCGGUAAUACGUAGGUGGCAAGCGUUAUCCGGAAUUAUUGGGCGUAAAGCGCGCGUAGGCGGUUUCUUAAGUCUGAUGUGAAAGCCCACGGCUCAACCGUGGAGGGUCAUUGGAGACUGGGAAACUUGAGUGCAGAAGAGGAGAGUGGAAUUCCAUGUGUAGCGGUGAAAUGCGCAGAGAUAUGGAGGAACACCAGUGGCGAAGGCGGCUCUCUGGUCUGUAACUGACGCUGAUGUGCCAAAGCGUGGGGAUCAAACAGGAUUAGAUACCCUGGUACCCCACGCCGUAAACGAUUAGUGCUCACUGUUAAGGGGUUUCCGCCCCUUACUGCUGCAGCUAACGCAUUAAGCACUCCGCCUGCGGAGUACGACCGCCC
This 618-nucleotide ribosomal RNA is filed under the name Mammaliicoccus sciuri. RNAcentral's name for it is "bacterial SSU rRNA". It matches the Rfam family "Bacterial small subunit ribosomal RNA", at positions 282 to 891 of the family's 1533-position model. Lineage: Bacteria; Bacillati; Bacillota; Bacilli; Caryophanales; Staphylococcaceae. The record is from RNAcentral.